Molecule: transfer RNA, 76 nt
Filed under: Clostridiales bacterium
Lineage: Bacteria; Bacillati; Bacillota; Clostridia; Eubacteriales
Also listed under: 3 other names
Description: tRNA-Ala
Rfam family: tRNA
About the family: Transfer RNA (tRNA) molecules are approximately 80 nucleotides in length. Their secondary structure includes four short double-helical elements and three loops (D, anti-codon, and T loops).
Source: RNAcentral
GGGGGUAUAGCUCAGCUGGCAGAGCGCUUGACUGGCAGUCAAGAGGUCGUCGGUUCAACUCCGACUAUCUCCACCA